RNAcentral lists this ribosomal RNA (446 nucleotides) under uncultured bacterium. Its description in RNAcentral is "partial 16S ribosomal RNA". It matches the Rfam family "Bacterial small subunit ribosomal RNA", at positions 338 to 795 of the family's 1533-position model. The record is from RNAcentral.
CCUACGGGUGGCAGCAGUCGAGAAUCAUUCACAAUGGGGGAAACCCUGAUGGUGCGACGCCGCGUGGGGGAAUGAAGGUCUUCGGAUUGUAAACCCCUGUCAUGUGGGAGCAAAUUAAAAAGAUAGUACCACAAGAGGAAGAGACGGCUAACUCUGUGCCAGCAGCCGCGGUAAUACACAGGUCUCAAGCGUUGUUCGGAAUCACUGGGCGUAAAGCGUGCGUAGGCUGUUUCGUAAGUCGGGUGUGAAAGGCGCGGGCUCAACCCGCGGACGGCAUAUGAUACUGCGAGACUAGAGUAAUGGAGGGGGAACCGGAAUUCUCGGUGUAGCGGUGAAAUGCGUAGAUAUCGAGAGGAACACUCGUGGCGAAGGCGGAUUCCUGGACAUUAACUGACGCUGAGGCACGAAAGCCAGGGGAGCGAAAAGGAUUAGAUACCCGUGUAGUC